RNAcentral lists this ribosomal RNA (252 nucleotides) under uncultured prokaryote. RNAcentral's name for it is "partial 16S ribosomal RNA". It matches the Rfam family "Bacterial small subunit ribosomal RNA", at positions 525 to 775 of the family's 1533-position model. The record is from RNAcentral.
ACGUAGGAGGCGAGCGUUAUCCGGAUUUACUGGGUGUAAAGCGCGUGCAGGCGGUUUAGCAAGUCGUGCGUGAAAGCGCUCUGGCUCAACCGGGCGAGGACGUGCGGAACUGCUGAACUAGAGGCAGGUAGAGGCGUGUGGAAUUCCGGGUGUAGUGGUGAAAUGCGUAGAGAUCCGGAGGAACACCAGAGGCGAAGGCGACACCCUGGGCCGUACCUGACGCUGAGGUGCGAAAGCUAGGGGAGCAAACGG